RNAcentral lists this ribosomal RNA (435 nucleotides) under Triticum aestivum (bread wheat). RNAcentral's name for it is "partial small subunit ribosomal RNA". Lineage: Eukaryota; Viridiplantae; Streptophyta; Magnoliopsida; Poales; Poaceae. The record is from RNAcentral.
AUGAGAGAGAGAGAGAGAGAGAGAGAGAGAGAGAGAGAGAGAGAGACCUGGGCGGCUCCGGCGCCACGGCGGGCGCUGUCCUCCCGCGGCCACGCAACAGCGGUUGAGAUGGGGUUCGGCGCGGGAUCAAGGUGGCGGCAUCGUUCACGAGCUCGGGCAGGGCAUCCAUGGCCGGAGCGCCGGAGCACCAGCGACACGCGGACUUGGGGACCCCGGAGACGGCGCUGGAGGUGUGGAUCCAGUGUGAAGGUGGGGUUCGGCGCCGGAUCAAGGUGGCGGCCUCGUUCACGAGCUCGCGUAAGGCAUCCAUGGCCGGAGGGCCGGAGCACCGCGGGCGGGCAGGCUGGCGAGACGCGGGUCCAAUCCUACGCCGGUAGCUGCUCUGCCUUCCCCUUAUUUUUUAAGUGCUUUGAAUCCGAUGGAGUCAAUCCGUGA